GAUGAAGAACGCAGCGAAAUGCGAUAAGUAAUGUGAAUGGCAGAAUUCAGUGAAUCAUCGAAUCUUUGAACGCACCUUGCGCUCCUUUGUAUUCCGAGGAGCAUGCCUGUUUGAGUCUCAUGGAAUUCUCAAGCUUACAGUUUUGUUACUGCAAGGCUUGGACUUGGAGGUCGUGUCGGCUCUCGCGAGUCGACUCCUCUGAAAUGCAUUAGUGCGGACGUUACCGGUCGCUUCAGCGUGAUAAUUAUCUGCGCUGCCGUCGACUGGUAUGUGAAGUACGCGCUUCUAACCGUCCUUCACGGGACAAUACAUUGAAACUCUGAGCUCAAAUCAGGUAGGACUACCCGCUGAACUUAAGCAUAUCAAUAAGCGGAGGA
Molecule: unclassified non-coding RNA, 377 nt
Filed under: soil metagenome
Description: partial contains 5.8S ribosomal RNA, internal transcribed spacer 2, and large subunit ribosomal RNA
Rfam family: 5.8S ribosomal RNA (bases 1-120)
Source: RNAcentral